AAUACGCCAUCUUUUCUUCUCUUUCCUGCACCCAGUCCGGUGUGGAUGCUAGCUAAAGCUGGAUUUACUGAGAAAACAAACCAUAAAAGAGGUAUUUGAUGUUAAAGUUAAUUGCAGAAGUUACAGAAGUAGGCAGAAAUCAUCAGACGUCUUUGAACACACAGAAAUCGAUAUUCCGCUGUUUUUUUGUUUUGAGGAUUCUCUUCAGCGGGACUUGGAUCUUCCUGCAUCUGCCACUGUGUGUUGAUGUCCACCCAUCGUGCUGGGAUCGGCCAUCACCUCGGACCAUCUCAUUCAUUAUCACGGGGCGAUAUUAUCCACUUGUCAGCAGAGAGGAGGAACAAAGAAGGUGUGGAAAAGCGAGACCAGACAUCAGAGCUCCUGACCUGGAUGUUGUUGGAGAUGUCUUCUGUGAGGGCCACGUGCAGAACGACCAGCGGCU
Acanthochromis polyacanthus (spiny chromis) is the source of this 442-nucleotide long non-coding RNA. RefSeq lists it as uncharacterized. The transcript has 3 exons. Lineage: Eukaryota; Metazoa; Chordata; Actinopteri; Pomacentridae. The record is from RefSeq and is a predicted model, not a curated record.